GUGCCAGCAGCCGCGGUAAUACGUAGGGUGCAAGCGUUGUCCGGAAUUAUUGGGCGUAAAGAGCUCGUAGGCGGUCUGUCGCGUCGGUUGUGAAAUCCCGAGGCUCAACCUCGGGUCUGCAGUCGAUACGGGCAAACUAGAGUGUUGCAGGGGAGACUGGAAUUCCUGGUGUAGCGGUGAAAUGCGCAGAUAUCAGGAGGAACACCGGUGGCGAAGGCGGGUCUCUGGGCAACAACUGACGCUGAGGAGCGAAAGCGUGGGGAGCGAACAGGAUUAGAUACCCUGGUAGUCC
RNAcentral lists this ribosomal RNA (292 nucleotides) under uncultured microorganism. Its description in RNAcentral is "partial 16S ribosomal RNA". It matches the Rfam family "Bacterial small subunit ribosomal RNA", at positions 505 to 796 of the family's 1533-position model. The record is from RNAcentral.